RNAcentral lists this ribosomal RNA (322 nucleotides) under uncultured eukaryote. Its description in RNAcentral is "partial 18S ribosomal RNA". It matches the Rfam family "Eukaryotic small subunit ribosomal RNA", at positions 1470 to 1796 of the family's 1831-position model. The record is from RNAcentral.
CCCUUAGAUGUUCUGGGCCGCACGCGCGCUACACUGAUGCGUUCAACAAGUUUCCUUGGCCGAGAGGCCUGGGCAAUCUUCUUAAUAUGUAUCGUGAUAGGGAUAGAUUAUUGCAAUUAUUAAUCUUGAACGAGGAAUUCCUAGUAAACGCAGAUCAUCAAUCUGCAUUGAUUACGUCCCUGCCCUUUGUACACACCGCCCGUCGCACCUACCGAUUGGAUGUUCCGGUGAAGCCUCGGGAUGAGGACUGGUGCCUUUAUUGGCAUGAGUUGUUCAGAACUUGUCUAAACCUUAUCAUCUAGAGGAGGGUGAAGUCGUAACA